GCUUCGUGGCGGGGCUACCCUACUUCGGUAGGGUUUAGAGCCGUCGACCCUCUCGGAGAAGGUCGGUCCUGAACUCCACCCUUGAAUAAACUACCUUUGUUGCUUUGGCGGGCCGCCUCGCGCCAGCGGCUUCGGCUGUUGAGUGCCCGCCAGAGGACCACAACUCUUGUUUUUAGUGAUGUCUGAGUACUAUAUAAUAGUUAAAACUUUCAACAACGGAUCUCUUGGUUCUGGCAUCGAUGAAGAACGCAGCGAAAUGCGAUAAGUAAUGUGAAUUGCAGAAUUCAGUGAAUCAUCGAAUCUUUGAACGCACAUUGCGCCCUCUGGUAUUCCGGAGGGCAUGCCUGUUCGAGCGUCAUUAUAACCACUCAAGCUCUCGCUUGGUAUUGGGGUUCGCGGUUUCGCGGCUCCUAAAAUCAGUGGCGGUGCCUGUCGGCUCUACGCGUAGUAAUACUCCUCGCGUCUGGGUCCGGUAGGUCUACUUGCCAGCAACCCCC
This 497-nucleotide ribosomal RNA is filed under the name Ascomycota sp. NY7057b. Its description in RNAcentral is "eukaryotic LSU rRNA". The stretch from base 205 to 358 matches the Rfam family "5.8S ribosomal RNA". The record is from RNAcentral. Lineage: Eukaryota; Fungi; Ascomycota.